CCUACGGGGGGCUGCAGUGGGGAAUAUUGCACAAUGGGGGAAACCCUGAUGCAGCGACGCCGCGUGAGUGAAGACGUAAUUCGUUAUGUAAAGCUCUAUCAGCAGGGAAGAAAAUGACGGUACCUGAGUAAGAAGCCCCGGCUAACUACGUGCCAGCAGCCGCGGUAAUACGGAGGGGGCAAGCGUUAUCCGGAUUUACUGGGGGUAAAGGGAGCGUAGGGGGUAGUGCAAGUCUGGAGUGAAAGGUGGGGGCUCAACCCCCGGAGUGCUCUGGAAACUGGACGGCUGGAGUGCGGGAGAGGUAAGUGGAAUUCGUAGUGUAGCGGUGAAAUGCGUAGAUAUUAGGAGGAACACCAGUGGCGAAGGCGGCUUACUGGACUGUAACUGACGUUGAGGCUCGAAAGCGUGGGGAGCAAACAGGAUUAGAUACCCCUGUAGUC
This 440-nucleotide ribosomal RNA is filed under the name uncultured bacterium. RNAcentral's name for it is "partial 16S ribosomal RNA". It matches the Rfam family "Bacterial small subunit ribosomal RNA", at positions 338 to 795 of the family's 1533-position model. The record is from RNAcentral.